Molecule: non-coding RNA, 136 nt
Organism: Brachypodium distachyon (stiff brome)
Lineage: Eukaryota; Viridiplantae; Streptophyta; Magnoliopsida; Poales; Poaceae
Source: Rfam
CUAGUACUCCCUCCGUCCAACAAAGGAGGUCUCAACUUUGAUUAAAUUUGAAUGCAUCUAUACAUUAAGUUAUGUCUACAUACAUCCAAAUUUUAACAAACUUGAGACAUCUUUUGUUGGACGGAGGGAGUACUAC